CCAUUCAGUAUUGGAGGCAUUGCCUGCCCAGUGACAACUGUUUAACGGCCGCGGUAUCCUGACCGUGCAAAGGUAGCAUAAUCAUUUGUUCUCUAAAUAAGGACUUGUAUGAAUGGCCGCACGAGGGUUUUACUGUCUCUUACUUCCAAUCAGUGAAAUUGACCUUCCCGUGAAGAGGCGGGAAUGCACAAAUAAGACGAGAAGACCCUAUGGAGCUUUAACUAACCAACCCAAAGAGAAUAGAUUUAACCAUUAAGGAAUAACAACAAUCUCCAUGAGUUGGUAGUUUCGGUUGGGGUGACCUCGGAGAAUAAAAAAUCCUCCGAGCGAUUUUAAAGACUAGACCCACAAGUCAAAUCACUCUAUCGCUCAUUGAUCCAAAAACUUGAUCAACGGAACAAGUUACCCUAGGGAUAACAGCGCAAUCCUAUUCAAGAGUCCAUAUCGACAAUAGGGUUUACGACCUCGAUGUUGGAUCAGGACAUCCUGAUGGUGCAACCGCUAUCAAAGGUUCGUUUGUUCAACGAUUAAAGUCCUACGUGAUCUGAGUUCAGACCGGA
This 560-nucleotide ribosomal RNA is filed under the name Phascolosoma esculenta. RNAcentral's name for it is "partial 16S ribosomal RNA". It matches the Rfam family "Bacterial large subunit ribosomal RNA", at positions 1836 to 2620 of the family's 2925-position model. The record is from RNAcentral. Lineage: Eukaryota; Metazoa; Annelida; Sipuncula; Phascolosomatiformes; Phascolosomatidae.